GAUGAACGCUGGCGGCGUGCCUAAUACAUGCAAGUCGAGCGAACAGACGAGGAGCUUGCUCCUCUGACGUUAGCGGCGGACGGGUGAGUAACACGUGGAUAACCUACCUAUAAGACUGGGAUAACUUCGGGAAACCGGAGCUAAUACCGGAUAAUAUAUUGAACCGCAUGGUUCAAUAGUGAAAGACGGUUUUGCUGUCACCUAUAGAUGGAUCCGCGCCGCAUUAGCUAGUUGGUAAGGUAACGGCUUACCAAGGCAACGAUGCGUAGCCGACCUGAGAGGGUGAUCGGCAACACUGGAACUGAGACACGGUCCAGACUCCUACGGGAGGCAGCAGUAGGGAAUCUUCCGCAAUGGGCGAAAGCCUGACGGAGCAACGCCGCGUGAGUGAUGAAGGUCUUCGGAUCGUAAAACUCUGUUAUUAGGGAAGAACAAAUGUGUAAGUAACUAUGCACGUCUUGACGGUACCUAAUCAGAAAGCCACGGCUAACUACGUG
Molecule: ribosomal RNA, 497 nt
Filed under: uncultured bacterium
Lineage: Bacteria
Description: partial 16S ribosomal RNA
Rfam family: Bacterial small subunit ribosomal RNA
Source: RNAcentral